Molecule: long non-coding RNA, 4536 nt
Filed under: Cricetulus griseus (Chinese hamster)
Lineage: Eukaryota; Metazoa; Chordata; Mammalia; Rodentia; Cricetidae
Description: lncRNA (ENSCGRG00015042731.1)
Source: RNAcentral
CUGCCUCACAGCCAUUGUCAGCACAGCUGGCGGCACACUCAGGGACAUCUCCUCUCUGGUUCUCCCUUAUCUCUUCUACAUGGUGCUAGGGUACAGCCUGACUCAGGAGGAGUCCUAGCUUUUAGGUCACAAGUUCCUCCUCAGUAGGGAGUUUCUGUAGAAGUGUUGGCAGCCGGAGGCUGUCUGCUUAUGACACCUGAAGCAUCCAGGGGAGAAGUCCUUCUAUUUCAGAGGGUGAUCCGUAGUGCCCGACUUGUGUGCAGAGAGUGUGCAGGUAUAGGGCUGUGAUGGACUUGACUGCAGACACUGUGCUAUUAUAGGGCUAUGAUGCUUCUUGAAUCACACAAGGCUAUGAAAGCCCUAGAAUACACAAGUGAUAUGGACAUGAACUUGGCUUUCAGUUUCAUUCCUCUCUUUCAGGAAAGUAAGCCAUGUGAAAGGACUGUUUAUUCAAGCACUCCACAGGAGACCUUCUAAGCUUUUCCUGUCAGCCCCCACCUCUCUUCUACUUCCCCUUGCCUGUUGACCCUUCCUUUUCUGACUGUCAGGGGUUAUCAAAAGCAGGGAGACAAGAACCAGUCCACACACAGCUGGCUGCUGCCAGAGGCUCUAUGGGUGGGAACCAUAGAUGCCUUACUGCCUCCUUUGACUUCCUUGGCCCUUUACCCCUGAUUCCUGAGAUAUAAUCAGUUUCUCACAUGGAUACCUAUAGCAUCUUCUCAGGACCUCCUCCCAGUAAGUGACUACAAAACCAUAAAAAGACUGGUGGCUCAGGAUGGUGGUGCCUUUGCCACAUAUUUCCCAGGCCACUGUGAGCAAUCACAAAGGAGAAAUACACAUCCAAACAGUGCACCUGAGCGACAAUGAGCAUCUGACCCAACAGGCCAUAGACUCCACAUCACAGCACCAACUGCUCGCUCUAUGGCUGAACUCACAACCCAGACAACCUCCAACUCUCCAACAGUGAAAGAUGGGGAUCAAACCCAAGGAGGGAUCAGCUUCCCUGCCCUUAUGCCUGAGCCACUGGGGAUGUGCCUUUGUGACAAUCAGAUAUGGAAAUGCUCCACCCUCUUCCCAGCCUCCAUCACACACGCCCUGCCUGUGUCCUCUUGCUGGUGACUCAUUCCUCCUGGCUCAGGAAGAAGAGCCUUCCUCUCGUAUAAUCUCAGUUUAAAGAGAAGAUUCCUUUGCUUCCUUCACUUACGAUUCCACAGUCCUCUCCAGAGAGGAGCAGACAAUCAUCCAAAGGCAUGUUCAUCCAAAGGCAUGCCCACCACUCCCAGCUGGAGCCAGACCCCACCACUGGGAGUCAUGCUGCCAUACUCCAGGAUGAAUUCUGAGUGAGGUGAGACCAGAGAAUGAAGGCAACCAUCAAGAAAGAAGACGUUUUCCACUCAGUCAGAAGUGAAAAAUUAUCCAGAGGGCCAGGUUUUGUCUGCAGUCAGAGACAACAGGGCUGGACUUCACCGGGUACAGCCGGCAGGGCAUGUCACCCAGGCUCUUCUGCCUGCAGUAGGACACCUUUGAACUGGUGCUGCUGUGAGUAAAGCCUGCUGGCGCUGUCGUUGAAACUCACGUGUGCAAGAUUGCUCUAUCUUGAAAAGCAGAGCCUGGCUGAGGAGGUCAGGAGUGCUGUGCCCAAGGUACUGAGCCUUCCCCCAGCUGCUCCUGCUGAGGGCAGUCUCCAAAGGGCAUUGCUGAGCUUGGAGAUUUCAGGGCUAUAAACAGAAGCCACGGAUUACCUGAAAGCUGGUUGUGGAUGAAUACAUUCUUUGAACAGCCAUUGCACAAUUUCCCUACCUACAAAAGCCUGACUUAAGGAACAGUUGUCCUGGCCACACUCAGUGAACCUGAAUAUGAUGUAUUCAUCUUAGCCAUAGAAUCAAAUUUUCAAUGCUUUAUAUGGGAAGGUGUUUUAAUAUUUCCUGAUUUCUUUCUAGUUUGUGAAGGCUUUGAAAAAAAUCAAGAAGCCUUUUCCUGUUUUUUGUUAAACUCACUGAUUUACAAGAGAAAGUUUACUUUGUUUUUUAUUUAAUUAGUUUGAAUUGUUUUUAUUUUAUUAUUUCAUGUGUAUGGGUGGUCUGCCUGCCUACCCACAUGUCUGUAUGCUAUGUAUAUACCUGGUGUCUAGUGCCUGGCUUGGGAGAUGGUACAGAAGAAGAUGGUGGGUACCCUGGAAAUGGAGUUACUGUUAGUUGUCAAUUGCCACGUGAGUGCUGGAAACCCAGCUGAGGUCCUGUGAAAAAGCAGCCAGUGCUUUUAACUGCUAAGCCAUCUCUCUAGCCCCAUACUUUGGCCUUUUAGAUGAAAUGUCUAGCAAUAGUUUUAGACUGGCUUCAGUUCAUUGUACGAUCCCUAAGGUUCCAAUGGUUAAUUUUUUAGUGUAAAUAAUGUCAGCUUGAUGCCUGUGGUAGUUUUAAUGCAAUUGGCCCCUAUAAUCUCAUUAUAGGGAGUGGCACUAUUAGGAGGUGUGGCUUUGUUGGAGUAGGUGCAGCCUUGUUGGAGGAAGUGUUUUCCUUUAUAAGAGUUGCCAUGGUCCUGGUGUCCCUUCACGGCAAUAGAAACCCUAACUAAGACACUGCCUUGGAUGCCUAUGGCCAAAAUUGAAAGGAAUAGGACAGAAAGAGAACCCUGAGUGGCAGUAGGGGUAGCACAGGGGUUGGAACCUGGGGAAUGAGUACAGAAUGAGUACAAAGCAGCAUAGGUCAUAGAGAUGCUAGGGAUGGGGUAAGGGGUCAGAGAAGGGAGGGUGGGCAGGCACAUAGAAAGCGAGGCUGUGGCUAGGGGACAGAGAGGGCAGAGCAAGAGGCAAGAGUGAAGGAGUCGGGGAAGCAAGGGAGCAUAGUUUAGCAGUCAGAUUCUAACGAGCCAUCUUUGGGUGCCCACUUUCGUGCACAGUCCUCUACCACACUGAGCAGGGAUGGCCUGUGUAGCCAAGGAGACAGUGCUGUUUCCUCUUUGCACUCUUGGGUCACUUGUUCCAGAACAGUGGGAUGCCUUGUGGAGAAGUUCAAGCAUCCCUCAAGAAAGGCACUUGUGCUUUCAGAGCUUUGGCCUCUUGCCCACAGCCCUGGGGGCUUGCCUUCUGGGAAGCAGCUGCACUGGCUCAACUCUCCAACAUCCAGAAUCCUACAGGCAAAUCCUACAGGAGGAGCCAGGCCAGAACUGCCACCUCUGACCCACAGAUCCUCCUUGAGAUAAUAAAUGUGUAUCUUUAUGUUAAGCCCUCAAGUUUGGGGCUAUUUGGAUCUAUAAACACAGGGGAAACAUGGCUCAAAUGAGAACAGAGAGUCCACAUCCCUGCAAUUUCAGCUCUCCAGGCCUCUCCUGGGCCCUGCCAUGUGUCUUUGAUGAGCUGUGGCUGGAAGCCCCAUGAGCAAUACACAGUAAUGUGGUUUUUAUAAGUUGGAAAUUUUUGCCAAUUUGCUGAAUCAGUCAUUACAGAAAUAGAUCCUCCAUGACCUGACUUCUGGUAGACUGAUUUUCCAUGAAUAAUGUUAAGAGGCAAUACCUCAACUGAUUUUAUACCUGGAAAUCCUAGAACUGGGGUUUUAGAGAGCAUUUGGCUAAGCUAUGUUAAGGUAAGGCUGACAUAAAUGUCAGGGUAGCAGGUGACUGAGGGUGACUUCUCAGAGCCAUAUCAGGUGUCCCACAUCUCAUUGCAUUUAUCUAGGUCAUGGUAAAACAAAAAUAAUAGAUUUACCCUUUGAGAGGCGACAAGACUUACCCUUUCUUGAUUUCUGAUAAUCGAUUAUGUUUGGGAACACAUUGGGCUCUCUGGGAUGAUGAUUAAGAAUGUAAUUUGCAGGUAUAAUAAAAAGAGGAAUUGGAUUCAUAAAUAAAGUCUCUACAGAUGCUUAAUGCUACCUUCAAGAAAUUACAGGUAGAAUUCUCCUGCAAGUCCCAGAUGAUUGACAGCAGGCAAGCCAGCGGCAGCUGCCAGCAUUGUGAAGGGAUUGAAGAAGUCUACUUCACCCGCUGGAGACAAGCAAGGGCAAGACAGGGUUUCUCACACAUCACUGUCCCCCAAGGAUCAAGCCUGGGUAACACUGAUCUGUGGAACCCUCUCUGAGGAGAGGUUAUCAGCCAUUUUUAGGAGUGGAAAGAUGUUUUUAAGAAGGGCUGAAUAGCCGGGUGUUGUUGGCACAUGCCUUUAAUCCCAGCACUCGGGAGGCAGAGGCAGGUGGAUUUCUGUGAGCUCGAGGCCAGCCUGGUCUACAGCUCGAAUUCCAGGACAACCUCCAAAGCAAUACAGAGAAACCCUGUCUCAAAAAAGAAGAAGGGUUGGAGAGAUGGCUCAGAGGUUAAGAGCACUGGCUGCUCUUCCAGAGGCCCUGAGUUUAAUUCCCGGCAACCACAUAGUGGCUCACAACCAUCCGUUAUGACAUCUGGUGCCCUCUUCUGGUGUGCAGAUAUACAUGGAAGCAGAAUGUUGUAUACAUAAUAAAUAAAUAAAAUCGUUAAAAAAAAAGGAGGAGGGAGAGAAGAAGAAGAAGAAGAAGAAGAAGAAGAAGAAGAAGAAGAAGAAGAAGAGGA